This 1605-nucleotide long non-coding RNA is filed under the name Homo sapiens (human). RNAcentral's name for it is "HSALNT0323799". The record is from RNAcentral. Lineage: Eukaryota; Metazoa; Chordata; Mammalia; Primates; Hominidae.
AUCCCUGGGCCUGGGCCUACCUAGGUGAAGACAGGCAUUUUUGUUUUCCUGCCCGGAUGUUGCAUUUCCCAAGACCACCCUGGCCUGCCAUGCCCUCAUCCUGUGCCUUUAAAAACCCCCGAGACCCUGGCAGGCAGACGCACAAGCAGCUGGACAUUGAGAGGAGCAUAUAGGCAGAGAAUACAGGGGCUGCUGGAUGUCGAAAGGAACGCACCAGCAUAGGAGCACACCGGCAUGCUGGCAGGCCAUUGACCAGCGGAAGAAUGCAGAGUUUGUCGCGGGAGGUCAGAGAAGAGUCAGGCCGCCAUACCUGACUCCAGGAGAAAACCGUCUCCCUUCUGGUUCCCCCGUCUGCCGAGAGCUACUUCCACUCAAUAAAACUUUCCACUCAUUCUUCAAGCCCACGUGUGAUCCAAUUCUUCCCGUACACCAAGGUCUCGCUGUGUUUCCCAGGCUGGGUGCAGUGGCUAUUCAAAGGUACAAUGAUAGCUCACUGCAGCCUGGAACUCCUGGACUCAAGCGAUCCUCCUGCCUCAGCUGCGACUAACAGAAACAGGGUCUUGCUCUGUUGCCCUGGCUGGAGUGCAAUGGUAUGAUCAUAGCUCACAGUAGCCUUGAACUCCUGGGCCCAAGCCAUCCUCCUACCUCAGCAACCAGAGUAGCUGGGAUUACAGGCGAAUGCCACCACACCUGGGUAAUUUCUUUUUCUUUUUCUUCUUGUUUUUAUUAGAGAUAGGAUCAUGCUAUGUUGCCCAAGCUGGUCUUGAACUUCUGGCCUCCAGCAGUCCUCCUGCCUGAGCCUCCCAAGUAGCUGGGAUUACAGGCAUGAGCCACCAGUCCUGGCAGAUUUGUUAAUUUCUUUGAAUUAUUAUAUAUUUUUAAGUUUACUUCCAUGUAUUUGACUUUUUGUGUGCUUAUAACUGGUAUCUUUUUAAAAUUUCAUUUUGUAAUUGUUGUUGCUGGUGUAUAGAAAUAAAAACAAUUUUCAUAUAUUGACCUUGUCACCAGCAAAUUUUCUAUAUUUACUUAUUAGUUGUAAUGUGUUAUCUGUAGAUUCUGUUAGAUUAUUUGCAUUCAUUAGCAUUGAUUAUGUAAUGGUAUACAUUGGAGCUCAUUUCAUCUUAGUAAACACAAAGUUGGAUAAUUCUUUUUAAUGGCUAGUGAGUAUUUAUAUACUACAGGUCAGUGGCAUGGUUAGUAUGGAGACUGUAGGGUCAGACUUCUGGGUUUGACUUAUGGUUCCACCAGUUAUUAUCUGAGUGACCCUAUUAAUGUCACCCACGUCCCUAUGCUUCACUUUCCUUCAAGGAAGACUCAUGCAUAUGUGUUGCUCUUACCAACACUGUUUCAGUGAAUGCUCUUGAGUAUGUUCCUUGUUUAUAUGUUGUGUAUAAAUGGGUGUGAAGUUCUAUAUUCAGAUAUUUCUCUGAAAUGGUUGUACUAAUUUACACUCGUAUCAGCUGUUUGUAAGAGUUCAUAUUGCCUCACAUUUUUGUCAGCACUUGGUAAUGUCAACCUAUGAAGGGUUUUGAAUCAAAAAGAUUUUGAAAAUCUUGUCAAACUUAAACAUUGGCAAAUUAAAAAAAUAAUAAAACAAUGUUUCAC